GACAGCAGCCGCCGCGGGAAUACGUAGGGUGCAAGCGUUAAUCGGAAUUACUGGGCGUAAAGCGUGCGCAGGCGGUUAUAUAAGACAGAUGUGAAAUCCCCGGGCUCAACCUGGGAACUGCAUUUGUGACUGUAUAGCUAGAGUACGGCAGAGGGGGAUGGAAUUCCGCGUGUAGCAGUGAAAUGCGUAGAUAUGCGGAGGAACACCGAUGGCGAAGGCAAUCCCCUGGGCCUGUACUGACGCUCAUGCACGAAAGCGUGGGGAGCAAACAGGAUUAGAUACCCCCGUAGUCCCUGUCUCUUAUAC
RNAcentral lists this ribosomal RNA (306 nucleotides) under uncultured bacterium. Its description in RNAcentral is "partial 16S ribosomal RNA". It matches the Rfam family "Bacterial small subunit ribosomal RNA", at positions 507 to 807 of the family's 1533-position model. The record is from RNAcentral.